AUUGAACGCUGGCGGCAUGCCUUACACAUGCAAAUCGAACGGUAACGGGCCUUUGGGUGCCGACGAGUGGCGAACGGGUGAGUAAUACAUCGGAACGUGCCCGAUCGUGGGGGAUAACGAGGUGAAAGCUUUGCUAAUACCGCAUACGAUCUACGGAUGAAAGCAGGGGACCGCAAGGCCUUGCGCGGACGGAGCGGCCGAUGGCAGAUUAGGUAGUUGGUGGGAUAAAAGCUUACCAAGCCGACGAUCUGUAGCUGGUCUGAGAGGAUGAUCAGCCACACUGGGACUGAGACACGGCCCAGACUCCUACGGGAGGCAGCAGUGGGGAAUUUUGGACAAUGGGCGCAAGCCUGAUCCAGCCAUGCCGCGUGCAGGAUGAAGGCCUUCGGGUUGUAAACUGAUUUUGUACGGAACGAAAAGCCUUCUUUUAAUACAGGAGGGUCAUGACGGUACCGUAAGAAUAAGCACCGGCUAACUACGUG
Molecule: ribosomal RNA, 482 nt
Filed under: uncultured bacterium
Lineage: Bacteria
Description: partial 16S ribosomal RNA
Rfam family: Bacterial small subunit ribosomal RNA
Source: RNAcentral